This 337-nucleotide unclassified non-coding RNA is filed under the name soil metagenome. RNAcentral describes it as "partial contains 5.8S ribosomal RNA, internal transcribed spacer 2, and large subunit ribosomal RNA". The stretch from base 1 to 120 matches the Rfam family "5.8S ribosomal RNA", at positions 35 to 154 of the family's 154-position model. The record is from RNAcentral.
GAUGAAGAACGCAGCGAAAUGCGAUAAGUAGUGUGAAUUGCAGACUUUAGUGAAUCAUCGAAUCUUUGAACGCACAUUGCGCCCCAUGGUAUUCCGUGGGGCAUGCCUGUUCGAGCGUCAUUUACCCCCUCAAGCUCCGCUUGGUGUUGGGCGUCUGUCCCGCUUCGCGCGCGGACUCGCCCCAAAGGUAUUGGCAGCGGUCGUGCCAGCUUCUCGCGCAGCACAUUGCGCUUCUCGAGGCACCGGUGGGCCCGCGUCCAUCAAGCUCACCCCCCCAGUUUGACCUCGGAUCAGGUAGGGAUACCCGCUGAACUUAAGCAUAUCAAUAAGCGGAGGA